GUACUGCUGAUGAGUCCCAAAAUAGGACGAAACGGCCGCCCAGUGC
RNAcentral lists this non-coding RNA (46 nucleotides) under Schistosoma mattheei. Lineage: Eukaryota; Metazoa; Platyhelminthes; Trematoda; Strigeidida; Schistosomatidae. The record is from RNAcentral.